This 895-nucleotide ribosomal RNA is filed under the name uncultured archaeon. Its description in RNAcentral is "bacterial SSU rRNA". It matches the Rfam family "Archaeal small subunit ribosomal RNA", at positions 1 to 903 of the family's 1478-position model. The record is from RNAcentral.
UUCCGGUUGAUCCCGCCAGACCUGACUGCUAUCGGAUUGAUACUAAGCCAUGCGAGUCGUUGUAGCAAUACAAGGCAUACGGCUCAGUAACGCGUAGUCAACCUAACCUAUGGACGGGAAUAACCUCGGGAAACUGAGAAUAAUGCCCGAUAGAACAUUAUGCCUGGAAUGGUUUAUGUUCCAAAUGAUUUAUCGCCAUAGGAUGGGACUGCGGCCUAUCAGUUUGUUGGUGAGGUAAUGGCCCACCAAGACUAUUACAGGUACGGGCUCUGAGAGGAGUAGCCCGGAGAUGGGUACUGAGACACGGACCCAGGCCCUAUGGGGCGCAGCAGGCGAGAAAACUUUGCAAUGUGCGAAAGCACGACAAGGUUAAUCCGAGUGAUUUCUGCUAAAGAGAUCUUUUGUUAGUCCUAGAAACACUAACGAAUAAGGGGUGGGCAAGUUCUGGUGUCAGCCGCCGCGGUAAAACCAGCACCUCAAGUGGUCAGGAUGAUUAUUGGGCCUAAAGCAUCCGUAGCCGGCUCUGUAAGUUUUCGGUUAAAUCUGUACGCUCAACGUACAGGCUGCCGGGAAUACUGCAGAACUAGGGAGUGGGAGAGGUAGACGGUACUCGGUAGGAAGUGGUAAAAUGCUUUGAUCUAUCGAUGACCACCUGUGGCGAAGGCGGUCUACCAGAACACGUCCGACGGUGAGGGAUGAAAGCUGGGGGAGCAAACCGGAUUAGAUACCCGGGUAGUCCCAGCUGUAAACUAUGCAAACUCAGUGAUGCAUUGGCUUGUGGCCAAUGCAGUGCUGCAGGGAAGCCGUUAAGUUUGCCGCCUGGGAAGUACGUACGCAAGUAUGAAACUUAAAGGAAUUGGCGGGGGAGCACCACAAGGGGUGAAGCCUGCGGUUC